This 1011-nucleotide long non-coding RNA is filed under the name Linum usitatissimum (flax). RNAcentral describes it as "long non-coding RNA (LUSI_LNC004005)". The record is from RNAcentral. Lineage: Eukaryota; Viridiplantae; Streptophyta; Magnoliopsida; Malpighiales; Linaceae.
UUAUAGGAAAAUAUCAAUUAACGAUCUGUACAAAAAUCGAAUGGGUCCAAGUUUUCAUCCUACUAGAAUUGUGUGAUAAUAACCUUUCUUUUAAUUGAAAGGUCUACUCCUAAAAAAACUCGUAUAAACAAGCUAGCUCGAAACCGGGUCGAAUGGGUCAUCCAAUUUAAUUGGAUGGACUUUUGGUGUGGAUACAAAACCAACAAAGCCCUUUAAUAAGAUUUGGGCCUCGAGCCUUCAAGCUAAGAUUCAACUUCCCGGGCCUGGUUUGGAAAGGCAGAGAGAGAAGCUAAAAAUGAAAAAGAACGCAGUUGUCACCCACGUGACAGACGGGAAUACUUACCACUAUACUACAACGAUCUUAUUCUUUUAUAAUUUAGAUUUUAUUGUUUUGCUUACUUCAUUAUGGAAUGGGCUGGCACUUCUAUAUCAUGCAAAGAUCGCAUCAGAAGUGGAAGUAUCUAUAUCGUGCUCGGCUGUCCUUUCGAGAUAUAUUUUCAACUUCGACCGUUCCACCUUAAUCCAACAUUAGGAGAUUGCUUGUAUGUAAAUCUAACCAUUCGCCAUCAAUAGCUAGCCCAAACCGCACAUGCACUAUUCAGUACCGAAUAAACAGCCGAACUGUAGCAUCCCUCGAAGCAACCGGUCCGAGGUAGCUACCAGCUAGGCUUCCCUUGAUCAAGCAACUGAAGAUUGAUUGCGAUGUCAAAUAUGAGGUUAAUGCUGCUGUUAUUUCAAAGACUGAACUCUCAGUACGAACAGUUGGCAGCACAUCAGACUCUCCACAGAACCUAAGCAAAACCAGUUACUCACAAAGACUGACAUCUUCAUUUAUUAUCUUUAUAUCCACCAAAAAAAACAAGAAACAAAACACUACAAACUUUUCACAAGGCAAACCAAACAUAAUAUAACAAGACUGAAAAUUUCAAGCCCAAGCAGCUUCUCUACCACCUCCUCUGCUAUUUACAAACCCAACAUCCCCCAUCUUCUUCGACCCCGAAGUCACCGGCU